RNAcentral lists this ribosomal RNA (403 nucleotides) under uncultured bacterium. RNAcentral describes it as "partial 16S ribosomal RNA". It matches the Rfam family "Bacterial small subunit ribosomal RNA", at positions 28 to 526 of the family's 1533-position model. The record is from RNAcentral.
GACGAACGCUGGCGGCGUGCCUAAUACAUGCAAGUCGAACGCAGUGGGGACGGGUGAGUAACACGUGGGUAACCUCCCAUCAGAGGGGAUAACACUUGGAAACAGGUGCUAAACCGAUACUGAUGGAUGGACCCGCGGUGCAGUAGCUAGUUGGUGAGGUAACGGCUCACCAAGGCCACGAUGCAUAGCCGACCGGAGAGGGUGAUCUGCCAGACUGGUAAUGAGACACGGCCCAGACUCCUACGGGAGGCAGCAGUGUGGAAUAUUGCACAAUGGGCGCAAGACUGAUGCAGCCAGGCGGCUUGUAUGAAGAAGGCCUUAGGGUUGUAAAGUACUUUCAGCGGGGAGGCGUUACCCGAAGAAGAAGCACGGGAGAACUCCGUGCCAGCCGGCGCGGUAAUAC